UGAGGUGUAGCUCAGUGGUAGGRCACUYGCCUAGUAUGCUUGAGGCCUGGGUUCAAUUCCCAGCACCACAA
Molecule: non-coding RNA, 71 nt
Organism: Urocitellus parryii (Arctic ground squirrel)
Lineage: Eukaryota; Metazoa; Chordata; Mammalia; Rodentia; Sciuridae
Source: the annotation of a RefSeq genome assembly